This 395-nucleotide ribosomal RNA is filed under the name Blastocystis sp. Its description in RNAcentral is "SSU rRNA". It matches the Rfam family "Eukaryotic small subunit ribosomal RNA", at positions 532 to 933 of the family's 1831-position model. The record is from RNAcentral. Lineage: Eukaryota; Bigyra; Opalinata; Blastocystidae.
CCUUAUCGAUAAACAAUUGGAGGGCAAGUCUGGUGCCAGCAGCCGCGGUAAUUCCAGCUCCAAUAGCGUAUAUUAACGUUGUUGCAGUUAAAAAGCUCGUAGUUGAAAUGAAGGGUAGUUGUGUAAUGAAUACAUUCGUGUAUUUUGUUAUUCUACUACCCUCCUUCUAAAUUCGAUAUAUGAGUAUUAAUUUACUUGUAUAUGGUUUUAGACGUUUACUGUGAGAAAAUUAGAGUGUUCAAAGCAGGCAUUUGCUUGAAUAUAUUAGCAUGGAAUAAUCAUGUAUGAUUUUCAUGAUGUAUUUGAUUGGUUUGGUUCAUGAGAAUAAGAUUAAAAGGGACAGUUGGGGGUAUUCAUAUUCAAUAGUCAGAGGUGAAAUUCUCGGAUUUAUGGAA